Molecule: small RNA, 66 nt
Filed under: Acididesulfobacillus acetoxydans
Lineage: Bacteria; Bacillati; Bacillota; Clostridia; Eubacteriales; Peptococcaceae
Description: Peptococcaceae bacterium INE non-coding RNA
Source: RNAcentral
GUUUCAAUUCCUCAUAGGCAGGCUAUCGGCGGCUACAAAAAGGUGUACUGGUGCACCAAGAUGGAG